UGGGGAAUCUUGCACAAUGGGGGCAACCCUGAUGCAGCGACGCCGCGUGAGCGAUGAAGCCCUUCGGGGCGUAAAGCUCUUUCGACCGGAACGAUAAUGACGGUACCGGGAGAAGAAGCUGCGGCUAACUAUGUGCCAGCAGCCGCGGUAAUACGUAGGCAGCAAGCGUUGUUCGGAGUUACUGGGCGUAAAGAGUGCGUAGGCGGUUUUCUAAGUUCGGUGUGAAAUCUCCCGGCUUAACUGGGAGGGUGCGCCGAAGACUGGGAAGCUGGAGUGUGGGAAAGGCAGGCGGAAUUCCUGGUGUAGCGGUGAAAUGCGUAGAUAUCAGGAGGAACACCGGCGGUGUAGACGGCUUGCUAGACCAUAACUGACGCUGAGGCACGAAAGCGUGGGUAGCAAACA
This 402-nucleotide ribosomal RNA is filed under the name uncultured bacterium. RNAcentral's name for it is "bacterial SSU rRNA". It matches the Rfam family "Bacterial small subunit ribosomal RNA", at positions 355 to 774 of the family's 1533-position model. The record is from RNAcentral.